AUUGAACGCUGGCGGCAGGCCUAACACAUGCAAGUCGAGCGGAAACGAUCCUAGCUUGCUAGGAGGCGUCGAGCGGCGGACGGGUGAGUAACGCGUGAGAAUCUACCCAUGAGUGGGGGACAACCCGGGGGAACUCGGGCUAAUACCGCAUACGCCCUACGGGGUAAAGCAGGGGACCUUCGGGCCUUGCGCUGAUGGAUGAGCUCGCGUCGGAUUAGCUUGUUGGUGAGGUAAAGGCUCACCAAGGCGACGAUCCGUAGCUGGUCUGAGAGGAUGAUCAGCCACACCGGGACUGAGACACGGCCCGGACUCCUACGGGAGGCAGCAGUGGGGAAUCUUGGACAAUGGGGGCAACCCUGAUCCAGCCAUGCCGCGUGUGUGAAGAAGGCCUUCGGGUUGUAAAGCACUUUCAGCAGGGAGGAAGGCUUACCCCUAAUACGGGUGAGUACUUGACGUUACCUGCAGAAGAAGCACCGGCUAAUUUCGUG
Molecule: ribosomal RNA, 488 nt
Filed under: uncultured bacterium
Lineage: Bacteria
Description: bacterial SSU rRNA
Rfam family: Bacterial small subunit ribosomal RNA
Source: RNAcentral